CCUACGGGAGGCAGCAGUGAGGAAUAUUGGUCAAUGGGCGUAAGCCUGAACCAGCCAAGUCGCGUGAGGGAAGAAGGUUCUAUGGAUCGUAAACCUCUUUUAUAAGGGAAUAAAGUGCGGGACGUGUGCCGUUUUGUAUGUACCUUAUGAAUAAGGAUCGGCUAACUCCGUGCCAGCAGCCGCGGUAAUACGGAAGAUCCGAGCGGUAUCCGGAUUUAUUGGGUUUAAAGGGUGCGUAGGCGGCAUUUUAAGGAAGCGGUUAAAGUCGGUGGCUCAACCCUAGAAUUGCCGUUGAAACUGGGAUGCUUGAGUAUGUUUGAGGCAUGCGGAAUGCGUGGUGUAGCGGUGAAAUGCUUAGAGAUCACGCAGAACCCAGAUGGCGAAGACAGCCUGCCAGGCCAUGACUGACGCUGAUGCACGAAAGUGUGGGGAUCAAACAGGAUUAGAUACCCUAGUAGUC
Molecule: ribosomal RNA, 460 nt
Filed under: uncultured bacterium
Lineage: Bacteria
Description: partial 16S ribosomal RNA
Rfam family: Bacterial small subunit ribosomal RNA
Source: RNAcentral